AGGGUACCCGGAGAAAAAGCAUCGGCUAACUCCGUGCCAGCCGCCGCGGUAAUACGGAGGAUGCGAGCGUUAUCCGGAUUCAUUUGGUUUAAAGGGUGCGCAGGCGGGCCUUUAAGCCGGCGGUGAAAUCGCGGGGCUCAACCCCGCCGAGCCGUCGGAACUGGGGGCCUUGAGUGCGGCGGAGGCAUGCGGAAUGCGCGGUGUAGCGGUGAAAUGCAUAGAUAUCACGCAGAACCCCGAUUGCGAAGGCAGCCUUCCGGCGCCCUACUGACGCUGAGGCACGAAAGUGCGGGGAUCGAACAGG
This 304-nucleotide ribosomal RNA is filed under the name uncultured bacterium. RNAcentral's name for it is "bacterial SSU rRNA". It matches the Rfam family "Bacterial small subunit ribosomal RNA", at positions 472 to 776 of the family's 1533-position model. The record is from RNAcentral.